GACGAACGCUGGCGGCGUGCUUAACACAUGCAAGUCGAACGGAAAGGCCCUGCUUUCGUGGGGUGCUCGAGUGGCGAACGGGUGAGUAACACGUGAGUAACCUGCCCUUGACUUUGGGAUAACUUCAGGAAACUGGGGCUAAUACCGGAUAGGAGCUCCUACUGCAUGGUGGGGGUUGGAAAGUUUCGGCGGUUGGGGAUGGACUCGCGGCUUAUCAGCUUGUUGGUGGGGUAGUGGCUUACCAAGGCUUUGACGGGUAGCCGGCCUGAGAGGGUGACCGGCCACAUUGGGACUGAGAUACGGCCCAGACUCCUACGGGAGGCAGCAGUGGGGAAUAUUGCACAAUGGGCGGAAGCCUGAUGCAGCAACGCCGCGUGCGGGAUGACGGCCUUCGGGUUGUAAACCGCUUUCGCCUGUGACGAAGCGUGGGUGACGGUAAUGGGUAAAGAAGCACCGGCUAACUACGUGCCAGCCGCCGCCGUAA
This 484-nucleotide ribosomal RNA is filed under the name uncultured bacterium. Its description in RNAcentral is "partial 16S ribosomal RNA". It matches the Rfam family "Bacterial small subunit ribosomal RNA", at positions 28 to 523 of the family's 1533-position model. The record is from RNAcentral.